This 253-nucleotide ribosomal RNA is filed under the name uncultured bacterium. Its description in RNAcentral is "partial 16S ribosomal RNA". It matches the Rfam family "Bacterial small subunit ribosomal RNA", at positions 524 to 776 of the family's 1533-position model. The record is from RNAcentral.
GACGAAGGGGGCAAGCGUUGUUCGGAAUUACUGGGCGUAAAGGGCGCGUAGGCGGUUCUUUAAGUCAGGCGUGAAAGCCCUGGGCUCAACCUGGGAGUGGCGCUUGAUACUGGAGGACUAGAGAGUGGGAGAGGUUGGUGGAAUUCCCAGUGUAGAGGUGAAAUUCGUAGAUAUUGGGAAGAACACCGGUGGCGAAGGCGGCCAACUGGACCAUUUCUGACGCUGUGACGCGAAAGCGUGGGGAGCAAACAGG